CUACGGGAGGCAGCAGUGGGGAAUAUUGCGCAAUGGGGGAAACCCUGACGCAGCAACGCCGCGUGAAGGAUGAAGGUUUUCGGAUCGUAAACUUCUUUGAUGAGGGAAGAAUAAUGACGGUACCUCAAAAACAAGCCACGGCUAACUACGUGCCAGCAGCCGCGGUAAUACGUAGGUGGCGAGCGUUGUCCGGAAUUACUGGGUGUAAAGGGCGUGUAGGCGGGAAUGCAGGUCAGAUGUGAAACUCCGAGGCUUAACUUCGGAACUGCAUCUGAAACUGUGUUUCUUGAGUGCUGGAGAGGAAAGCGGUAUUCCUAGUGUAGCGGUGAAAUGCGUAGAUAUUAGGAGGAGCACCAGUGGCGAAGGCGGCUUUCUGGACAGUAACUGACGCUGAGGCGCGAAAGCGUGGGGAGCAAACAGGAUUAGAUACCCGCGUAGUCCU
RNAcentral lists this ribosomal RNA (442 nucleotides) under uncultured bacterium. RNAcentral's name for it is "bacterial SSU rRNA". It matches the Rfam family "Bacterial small subunit ribosomal RNA", at positions 339 to 797 of the family's 1533-position model. The record is from RNAcentral.